GACGAACGCUGGCGGCGUGCCUAAUACAUGCAAGUCGAACGCUUUUUCUUUCACCGGGGCUUGCUCCACCGAAAGAAAAAGAGUGGCGAACGGGUGAGUAACACGUGGGUAACCUGCCCAUCAGAAGGGGAUAACACUUGGAAACAGGUGCUAAUACCGUAUAACACUAUUUUCCGCAUGGAAGAAAGUUGAAAGGCGCUUUUGCGUCACUGAUGGAUGGACCAGGGGUGCAUUAGCUAGUUGGUGAGGUAACGGCUCACCAAGGCAACGAUGCAUAGCCGACCUGAGAGGGUGAUCGGCCACACGGGGACUGGGACACGGCCCAGACUCCCACGGGAGGCAGCAGUAGGGAAUCUUCGGCAAUGGACGAAAGUCUGACCGAGCAACGCCGCGUGAGUGAAGAAGGUUUUCGGAUCGUAAAACUCUGUUGUUAGAGAAGAACAAGGAUGAGAGUAAAAUGUUCAUCCCUUGACGGUAUCUAACCAGAAAGCCACGGCUAACUACGUGCCAGCAGCCGCGGUAA
This 523-nucleotide ribosomal RNA is filed under the name uncultured bacterium. Its description in RNAcentral is "partial 16S ribosomal RNA". It matches the Rfam family "Bacterial small subunit ribosomal RNA", at positions 28 to 523 of the family's 1533-position model. The record is from RNAcentral.